UACGAAGUUACAACACGUGGUUCCAUCGCC
RNAcentral lists this non-coding RNA (30 nucleotides) under Homo sapiens (human). Lineage: Eukaryota; Metazoa; Chordata; Mammalia; Primates; Hominidae. The record is from RNAcentral.